Molecule: non-coding RNA, 118 nt
Organism: Pteropus alecto (black flying fox)
Lineage: Eukaryota; Metazoa; Chordata; Mammalia; Chiroptera; Pteropodidae
Source: Rfam
CUCAACCACCACUGUCACCCCUAUUCAAAAUUUCAUCUGUAUCUCGGAAGCUAAGCAGGGUUGUGCCUGGUUAGUACUUGGAUAGGAGACCACCUAGGAAGAUCAGGUGCUGUAGGUG